UUGCCCCAGUAACGGCGAGUGAAGCGGCAACAGCUCAAAUUUGAAAUCUGGCCCCUAGGGUCCGAGUUGUAAUUUGUAGAGGAUGCUUUUGGUGAGGUGCCGCCCGAGUUCCCUGGAACGGGACGCCACAGAGGGUGAGAGCCCCGUCUGGCUGGCCACCGAGCCUCUGUAAAGCUCCUUCGACGAGUCGAGUAGUUUGGGAAUGCUGCUCAAAAUGGGAGGUAUAUGUCUUCUAAAGCUAAAUAUUGGCCAGAGACCGAUAGCGCACAAGUAGAGUGAUCGAAAGAUGAAAAGCACCUUGAAAAGAGGGUUAAAUAGUACGUGAAAUUGUUGAAAGGGAAGCGCUUGUGACCAGACUUGGGCGCGGCGGAUCAUCCGGGGUUCUCUCCGGUGCACUUCGCCGCGUCUAGGCCAGCAUCAGUUCGUCGCGGGGGAAAAAGGCUUCGGGAACGUGGCUCCUCCGGGAGUGUUAUAGCCCGUUGCAUAAUACCCUGCUUUGGACUGAGGACCGCGCAUCUGCAAGGAUGCUGGCGUAAUGGUCACCAGCGACCCGUCUUGAAACACGGACCAAGGAGUCGUCUUCGUAUGCGAGUGUUCGGGUGUCAAACCCCUACGCGUAAUGAAAGUGAACGCAGGUGAGAGCUUCGGCGCAUCAUCGACCGAUCCUGAUGUUCUCGGAUGGAUUUGAGUAAGAGCAUACGGGGCCGGACCCGAAAGAAGGUGAACUAUGCCUGUAUAGGGUGAAGCCAGAGGAAACUCUGGUGGA
This 766-nucleotide ribosomal RNA is filed under the name Trichoderma tomentosum. RNAcentral's name for it is "LSU rRNA". It matches the Rfam family "Eukaryotic large subunit ribosomal RNA", at positions 75 to 871 of the family's 3401-position model. Lineage: Eukaryota; Fungi; Ascomycota; Sordariomycetes; Hypocreales; Hypocreaceae. The record is from RNAcentral.